This 439-nucleotide ribosomal RNA is filed under the name uncultured bacterium. RNAcentral describes it as "partial 16S ribosomal RNA". It matches the Rfam family "Bacterial small subunit ribosomal RNA", at positions 339 to 795 of the family's 1533-position model. The record is from RNAcentral.
CUACGGGCCGCUGCAGUGAGGAAUAUUGCACAAUGGGGGGAACCCUGACGCAGCAACGCCGCGUGGAGGAUGACGCGUUUCGGUGUGUAAACUCCUUUUAUAUGUCAAGAAAAUGACGGUAGCAUAUGAAUAAGCACCGGCUAACUCCGUGCCAGCAGCCGCGGUAAUACGGAGGGUGCAAGCGUUACUCGGAAUCACUGGGCGUAAAGGACGCGUAGGCGGGUUGGAAAGUCAGGUGUGAAAUCCUACAGCUUAACUGUAGAACUGCACUUGAAACUUCUAAUCUAGAGUAUGGGAGGGGGAGAUGGAAUUAGUGGUGUAGGGGUAAAAUCCGUAGAUAUCACUAGGAAUACCUAAAGCGAAGGCGAUCUCCUGGAACAUUACUGACGCUAAGGCGUGAAAGCGUGGGGAGCAAACAGGAUUAGAUACCCCAGUAGUC